GAAAUGCGAUACGUAAUGCGAAUUGCAGAAUUCAGUGAAUCAUCAAAUCUUUGAACGCAAAUGGCGCUCUUGGGAUAGCCCUGGGAGCACACUUCUUUGAGUAUCGGUUCUAACUCUACUCGACCGCGUCGAUAUCUAAACAAUAUCGCUACGUCUAGGUCGGAUUUGAGUGUCUCGUUGCUUAGUCAGUGAGUCACUUUAAGUUCAAACCAAGGCCCAUAAAAGAUUCUCUUUAGUCUCUCUUUUGGGUUGAACGUGGAUAACUGUCGCACCUUGUGUGAUAUCGUCUUACGUUUCAACCUUUAAAGAAUUACGGGGCUUUAGAUGAGUCGGGUCUCAAUGGAAAUGAAACGUUAAUUCGUUUUCUCUUGAAUUAGAUCUCAAAUGAAGUGGGAAAACC
RNAcentral lists this unclassified non-coding RNA (400 nucleotides) under uncultured fungus. RNAcentral describes it as "sequence contains ITS1". The stretch from base 1 to 106 matches the Rfam family "5.8S ribosomal RNA", at positions 50 to 154 of the family's 154-position model. Lineage: Eukaryota; Fungi. The record is from RNAcentral.